GACGAACGCUGGCGGCGUGCUUAACACAUGCAAGUCGAACGGAAAGGCCCUGCUUGCAGGGUACUCGAGUGGCGAACGGGUGAGUAACACGUGGGUGAUCUGCCCUGCACUUCGUGAUAAGCCUGGGAAACUGGGUCUAAUACCGGAUAGGAGCCAUUUUUAGUGUGAUGGUUGGAAAGUUUUUUCGGUGUAGGAUGAGCUCGCGGCCUAUCAGCUUGGUGGUGGGGUAAUGGCCUACCAAGGCGGCGACGGGUAGCCGGCCUGAGAGGGUGGACGGCCACAAUGGGACUGGGAUAAGGGCCAGACUCCUACGGGAGGGAAGAAGGGGGAAUAUUGCACAAAGGGCGCGAGCCUGAUGCAGCGACGCCGCGGGGGGGAUGACGGCCUUCGGGUUGGAAACUCCUUUCGCUAGGGACGAAGCUUUUUGUGACGGUACCUAGAUAAGAAGCACCGGCUAACUACGUG
Molecule: ribosomal RNA, 465 nt
Filed under: uncultured bacterium
Lineage: Bacteria
Description: partial 16S ribosomal RNA
Rfam family: Bacterial small subunit ribosomal RNA
Source: RNAcentral